RNAcentral lists this ribosomal RNA (911 nucleotides) under uncultured bacterium. RNAcentral describes it as "bacterial SSU rRNA". It matches the Rfam family "Bacterial small subunit ribosomal RNA", at positions 8 to 916 of the family's 1533-position model. The record is from RNAcentral.
AGAGUUUGAUCCUGGCUCAGAACGAACGCUGGCGGCGUGCUUAACACAUGCAAGUCGCGUGCGCAGUUUCCGUAGCAAUACGGGGAUCGGCGCACGGCGCACGGGUGCGUAACACGUGGGCAAUCUGCCCUCCGAUGGGGAAUACCCCCGCGAAAGCGGGACUAAUUCCGCAUAACAUUCCGAGAACUUCGGCUCUUGGACUCAAAGGCGUAAGUCGUCGGAGGAGGAGCCCGCGCACGAUUAGCUAGUUGGUAGGGUAAUGGCCUACCAAGGCUAUGAUCGUUAGCUGGUCUGAGAGGAUGGCCAGCCACACUGGAACUGAGACACGGUCCAGACUCCUACGGGAGGCAGCAGUGGGGAAUCUUGCACAAUGGGCGAAAGCCUGAUGCAGCGACGCCGCGUGGGGGAUGAAGCUUCUCGGAGUGUAAACCCCUUUCGACCCGGACGAAUACCUCGCAAGAGGGGUGACGGUACGGGUAUAAGAAGCCCCGGCUAACUACGUGCCAGCAGCCGCGGUAAGACGUGGGGGGCCAGCGUUGUUCGGAAUUACUGGGUGUAAAGGGUUCGUAGGCGGUGUGGCAAGUCGGGAGUGAAAUCUCUGGGCUCAACCCAGAGACUGCUUCCGAAACUGCUGUGCUGGAGUGUGGGAGAGGCGCGUGGAAUUGCAGGUGUAGCGGUGAAAUGCGUAGAUAUCUGCAGGAACACCCGUGGCGAAAGCGGCGCGCUGGACCACUACUGACGCUGAGGAACGAAAGCUAGGGGAGCAAACAGGAUUAGAUACCCUGGUAGUCCUAGCCCUAAACGAUCAGGACUUGGGGUGCCACCCGUUCGGGUGUCGUCCCGGAGCUAACGCGUUAAGUCCUGCACCUGGGGAGUACGGUCGCAAGACUGAAACUCAAAGGAAUUGACGG